RNAcentral lists this non-coding RNA (249 nucleotides) under Perkinsus marinus ATCC 50983. Its description in RNAcentral is "Eukaryotic small subunit ribosomal RNA". It matches the Rfam family "Eukaryotic small subunit ribosomal RNA", at positions 1579 to 1831 of the family's 1831-position model. The record is from Rfam by way of RNAcentral. Lineage: Eukaryota; Perkinsozoa; Perkinsida; Perkinsidae.
GACGAUUGCAUUAUUCGUCUUCAACGAGGAAUUCCUAGUAAAUGCAAGUCAUCAGCUUGCGUUGAUUACGUCCCUGCCCUUUGUACACACCGCCCGUCGCUCCUACCGAUUGAGUGAUCCGGUGAGCUGUCCGGACUGCGAUUAGUUCAGUUUCUGUUCUCUUCGCGGGAAGUUCUGCAAACCUUAUCACUUAGAGGAAGGAGAAGUCGUAACAAGGUUUCCGUAGGUGAACCUGCGGAAGGAUCAUUC